RNAcentral lists this ribosomal RNA (672 nucleotides) under uncultured bacterium. RNAcentral's name for it is "bacterial SSU rRNA". It matches the Rfam family "Bacterial small subunit ribosomal RNA", at positions 49 to 717 of the family's 1533-position model. The record is from RNAcentral.
CUACCAUGCAGUCGACGGUACAGGAGAGAGCUUGCUCUCUUGCUGACGAGUGGCGGACGGGUGAGUAAUGCAUAGGAAUCUGCCCAGUAGUGGGGGACAACUCGGGGAAACUCGAGCUAAUACCGCAUACGCCCUACGGGGGAAAGCGGGGGAUCUUCGGACCUCGCGCUAUUGGAUGAGCCUAUGUCAGAUUAGCUUGUUGGUAGGGUAAAGGCCUACCAUGGCUACGAUCUGUAGCUGGUCUGAGAGGACGAUCAGCCACACUGGGACUGAGACACGGCCCAGACUAAUACGGGAGGCAGCAGUGGGGAAUAUUGGACAAUGGGGGCAACCCUGAUCCAGCAAUGCCGCGUGUGUGAAGAAGGCCUGCGGGUUGUAAAGCACUUUCAGUGGGGAGGAAAAGCUCAAGGUUAAUACCCUUGAGUCUUGACGUUACCCACAGAAGAAGCACCGGCUAACUCCGUGCCAGCAGCCGCGGUAAUACGGAGGGUGCAAGCGUUAAUCGGAAUUACUGGGCGUAAAGCGCGCGUAGGCGGCUUGAUAAGUCGGAUGUGAAAUCCCUGGGCUUAACCUGGGAAUUGCAUUCGAUACUGUCAGGCUAGAGUGUGUAGAGGAAGUGGAAUUUCCGGUGUAGCGGUGAAUGCGUAGAUAUCGGAAAGAACAUCAGUGGCG